UACAGAGGUCUCAAGCGUUGUUCGGAUUCAUUGGGCGUAAAGGGUGCGUAGGUGGCGUGGUAAGUCGGGUGUGAAAUUUCGGAGCUUAACUCCGAAACUGCAUUCGAUACUGCCGUGCUUGAGGACUGGAGAGGAGACUAGAAUUUACGGUGUAGCAGUGAAAUGCGUAGAGAUCGUAAGGAAGACCAGUGGCGAAGGCGGGUCUCUGGACAGUUCCUGACACUGAGGCACGAAGGCCAGGGGAGCAAACGGG
Molecule: ribosomal RNA, 253 nt
Filed under: uncultured bacterium
Lineage: Bacteria
Description: partial 16S ribosomal RNA
Rfam family: Bacterial small subunit ribosomal RNA
Source: RNAcentral